GGGAAUAUAGCUCAGUGGUGGAGGGCUUGCCUGGCAUGUGUGAGGCCUGGGUUCAAUCCCCAGUACACACA
This 71-nucleotide transfer RNA is filed under the name Mesocricetus auratus (golden hamster). It matches the Rfam family "tRNA". From Rfam's summary of the family: Transfer RNA (tRNA) molecules are approximately 80 nucleotides in length. Their secondary structure includes four short double-helical elements and three loops (D, anti-codon, and T loops). Lineage: Eukaryota; Metazoa; Chordata; Mammalia; Rodentia; Cricetidae. The record is from Rfam by way of RNAcentral.